Molecule: small nuclear RNA, 104 nt
Organism: Camelus dromedarius (Arabian camel)
Lineage: Eukaryota; Metazoa; Chordata; Mammalia; Artiodactyla; Camelidae
Source: Ensembl
GUGCCUGCUUUGGCAGCACAUACACUAAAAUUGGAACGAUACAGAGAUUAGCAUGGCCCCUGCGCAAGGAUGACGUGCAAAUUCUUGAAGCGUUCCAUAUUUUU